UACGUAGGGGCCAAGCGUUGUCCGGAAUCAUUGGGCGUAAAGAGCUCGUAGGCGGUUCGGUAAGUCGGGUGUGAAAUCUCCACGCUCAACGUGGAGGGGCCACCCGAUACUGCCGUGACUAGAGUCCAGUAGGGGAGUGUGGAAUUCCCGGUGUAGCGGUGAAAUGCGCAGAUAUCGGGAGGAACACCAGCGGCGAAGGCGGCACUCUGGGCUGGAACUGACGCUGAGGAGCGAAAGCGUGGGGAGCGAACAGG
This 254-nucleotide ribosomal RNA is filed under the name uncultured bacterium. Its description in RNAcentral is "partial 16S ribosomal RNA". It matches the Rfam family "Bacterial small subunit ribosomal RNA", at positions 524 to 776 of the family's 1533-position model. The record is from RNAcentral.